Molecule: long non-coding RNA, 695 nt
Organism: Candoia aspera
Lineage: Eukaryota; Metazoa; Chordata; Lepidosauria; Squamata; Candoiidae
Exons: 3
Source: RefSeq, a predicted model, not a curated record
CAUCAGCGAGUUCACUCUCGCUGCCUGGAUUUCACAGUGGGCACCGCUCUCUGUCCUUUUUCUAGAGAGCGCAGCUCGGCGGACACCCUUGGAACUCGCAAGGUGCUCAAGCCAGCAUAUAUAGCCUCUCCCCCAGUUUUUCCCUAUCACAAUUCUGUGGAAGGUAACUGUUUUAAAAUGUUGCAAUAUGAGACAAGGAAAGAAACCACUGCGUAAUGGUGGCAGAAGAAGAAAUAAAUAACCAGCAGGAUUUGAUGACAGCUUUGAUAACAGAUAGCAGAGAAAGAAAAAAGAUCUUAAAACUGCAUACACACAUAUUUUUAUGUACAUGAAAGGGAAUUAAAAUAUAUAUUUGGAAAUAUAUAUUUCAUGACUAAAAUAGAUAUUUUGAAAAACUACCAAAUUAUUCAAGCGUCAAGGAGAGAAAAUGGAUUGCCAACAUAUACUGUUGUUUAUUUUCCUGUCUUGUAUCUUUCCUAUCUUUUAAAGAAGAAGCAAGCACUAUAGAAUUUCCUGUUGAUGGAAGGCUAUAUUAGUAAAUUAUUAUUUUCUUUCAUCAAUUAUUUUAAAGACAUAACUGAGGUCAGUUUUUUUUUUGUGCUGUUUGUUCUGUGUUAUUCUGAAUUCUGAUUUAUCAUCCCUUGAUAAUUAUUGGUUAACUAUGUGUUAUUAAAUUUAUAAAAUAUGUCAUUGCC